CCUACGGGAGGCAGCAGUGGGGAAUAUUGGACAAUGGGCGAAAGCCUGAUCCAGCAAUGCCGCGUGAGUGAUGAAGGCCUUAGGGUUGUAAAGCUCUUUUACCAGGGAUGAUAAUGACAGUACCUGGAGAAUAAGCUCCGGCUAACUCCGUGCCAGCAGCCGCGGUAAUACGGAGGGAGCUAGCGUUGUUCGGAAUUACUGGGCGUAAAGAGUACGUAGGCGGUUAUUCAAGUCAGAGGUGAAAGCCGGGGCUCAACCCCGGAACUGCCUUUGAAACUAGAUAGCUAGAAUCUUGGAGAGGUCAGUGGAAUUCCGAGUGUAGAGGUGAAAUUCGUAGAUAUUCGGAAGAACACCAGUGGCGAAGGCGACUGACUGGACAAGUAUUGACGCUGAGGUACGAAAGCGUGGGGAGCAAACAGGAUUAGAUACCCUGGUAGUCCACGCCGUAAACGAUGAUAACUAGUUNUUCGGGCAACUUGGUGCCUGAGUGACGCAGCUUAACGCAUUAAGUUAUCGCNGGAGUACGCGNGAGAGUAAAUACAAGAAGUAGUAAGGUGUGAGAGUGCGAAGACGACGACGAGGGAGGAGG
Molecule: ribosomal RNA, 589 nt
Filed under: uncultured bacterium
Lineage: Bacteria
Description: bacterial SSU rRNA
Rfam family: Bacterial small subunit ribosomal RNA (bases 1-518)
Source: RNAcentral